GCUGGAACGGUUGUGCCCGGCCCAACCUGAGGCGGGCGAGAGAGGCCAACGAGGAAGCAGCCUUCCCCCCUUCCCGUAGCGUGAGGAGUGGGAGAAGGCGAGGGACCCGGACCUCGGCACGUUUGAUUGGAAGUAAGCCCUGCUGUUGAGUGGGACAUACUCCCAAGUGGCAUCCAUGCACACAGGAUGGCACGUAUCAGCACAAAAUCCGUGUUUCUAACAGUUUCCAAGGACAUAUUCAUGGCUGCUUGAAGCAUAUCAUCUUCACUCAUAUCACCUCCUGGCAGAAAAGAAAAUGCAUUAGGUCCUGGAAUACUGCUAUAAAAUGGAGAAAAUGGCCUAGUUCAGAUCAUCAUUCAAGGCUUCAUAAACUAUGGAAGUCAGGAAUGAGCACUGGGGCCAAGCUUCCUAGACCCUCCACCCUCCUCUCGACACCAGCUGACUUUGACGCAAAGAUAAUGGGUUUGUAUUAAGCUAGAGUUCCCUGUUACGUCUGAUUCAGGGAACUCUGGCUUAAUGUGAGUUAAUAAACCUGGAACAUAAACUAUAAACAUAAACUAUGAUUUACGAAGCUUUGAACCAUUAUCCAAACUGGCCAAUGAAUGUCACACCUUCCUUUCUUCUUCUUUAAACCCUUUAUAUCUCUUACCAAAUAAAAUUAAUACUUGAAUUGUA
Molecule: long non-coding RNA, 675 nt
Organism: Elgaria multicarinata webbii
Lineage: Eukaryota; Metazoa; Chordata; Lepidosauria; Squamata; Anguidae
Exons: 3
Source: RefSeq, a predicted model, not a curated record